GAUGAACGCUGGCGGCGUGCCUAAUACAUGCAAGUCGAGCGAACGGACGAGAAGCUUGCUUCUCUGAUGUUAGCGGCGGACGGGUGAGUAACACAUGGAUAACCUACCUAUAAGACUGGGAUAACUUCGGGAAACCGGAGCUAAUACCGGAUAAUAUUUUGAACCGCAUGGUUCAAAGGUGAAAGACGGUCUUGCUGUCACUUAUAGAUGGAUCCGCGCUGCAUUAGCUAGUUGGUAAGGUAACGGCUUACCAAGGCAACGGUGCAUAGCCGACCUGAGAGGGUGAUCGGCCACACUGGAACUGAGACACGGUCCAGACUCCUACGGGAGGCAGCAGUAGGGAAUCUUCCGCAAUGGGCGAAAGCCUGACGGAGCAACGCCGCGUGAGUGAUGAAGGUCUUCGGAUCGUAAAACUCUGUUAUUAGGGAAGAACAUAUGUGUAAGUAACUGUGCACAUCUUGACGGUACCUAAUCAGAAAGCCACGGCUAACUACGUG
This 497-nucleotide ribosomal RNA is filed under the name uncultured bacterium. RNAcentral describes it as "partial 16S ribosomal RNA". It matches the Rfam family "Bacterial small subunit ribosomal RNA", at positions 28 to 507 of the family's 1533-position model. The record is from RNAcentral.